GAUCAUGGCUCAGGAUGAACGCUGGCGGCGCGCCUAACACAUGCAAGUCGAACGGCACCUGCCCUCGGGCAGAAGCGAGUGGCGAACGGCUGAGUAACACGUGGAGAACCUGCCCCCCUCCCCCCGGGAUAGCCGCCCGAAAGGACGGGUAAUACCGGAUACCCCGGGGUGCCGCAUGGCACCCCGGCUAAAGCCCCGACGGGAGGGGAUGGCUCCGCGGCCCAUCAGGUAGACGGCGGGGUGACGGCCCACCGUGCCGACAACGGGUAGCCGGG
Molecule: ribosomal RNA, 275 nt
Filed under: uncultured bacterium
Lineage: Bacteria
Description: partial 16S ribosomal RNA
Rfam family: Bacterial small subunit ribosomal RNA
Source: RNAcentral